RNAcentral lists this ribosomal RNA (190 nucleotides) under Pseudomonas aeruginosa. Its description in RNAcentral is "partial 23S ribosomal RNA". It matches the Rfam family "Bacterial large subunit ribosomal RNA", at positions 1 to 191 of the family's 2925-position model. Lineage: Bacteria; Pseudomonadati; Pseudomonadota; Gammaproteobacteria; Pseudomonadales; Pseudomonadaceae. The record is from RNAcentral. RNAcentral also lists the same sequence under 1 other name.
GGUUAAGCGACUAAGCGUACACGGUGGAUGCCCUGGCAGUCAGAGGCGAUGAAGGACGUGCUAAUCUGCGAAAAGCGUCGGUAAGGUGAUAUGAACCGUUAUAACCGGCGAUGUCCGAAUGGGGAAACCCAGUGCAAUUCGUUGCACUAUCGUUAACUGAAUACAUAGGUUAACGAGGCGAACCGGGGGA